GAGCGGUAAGGCCCUUCGGGGUACACGAGCGGCGAACGGGUGAGUAACACGUGGGUGAUCUGCCCUGUACUUCGGGAUAAGCCUGGGAAACUGGGUCUAAUACCGGAUAUGACCCGAGGUUGCAUGACUUCGGGUGGAAAGAUUUAUCGGUACAGGAUGGGCCCGCGGCCUAUCAGCUUGUUGGUGGGGUAAUGGCCUACCAAGGCGACGACGGGUAGCCGGCCUGAGAGGGCGACCGGCCACACUGGGACUGAGACACGGCCCAGACUCCUACGGGAGGCAGCAGUGGGGAAUAUUGCACAAUGGGCGAAAGCCUGAUGCAGCGACGCCGCGUGAGGGAUGACGGCCUUCGGGUUGUAAACCUCUUUCGACAGGGACGAAGCGCAAGUGACGGUACCUGUAGAAGAAGCACCGGCCAACUACGUGCCAGCAGCCGCGGUAAUACGUAGGGUGCGAGCGUUGUCCGGAAUUACUGGGCGUAAAGAGCUUGUAGGCGGUUCGUCGCGUCGUUCGUGAAAACUUGGGGCUCAACCCCAAGCUUGCGGGCGAUACGGGCGGACUAGAGUACUUCAGGGGAGACUGGAAUUCCUGGUGUAGCGGUGAAAUGCGCAGAUAUCAGGAGGAACACCGGUGGCGAAGCGGGUCUCUGGGAAGUAACUGACGCUGAAAGCGAAAGCGUGGGUAGCGAACAGGAUUAGAUACCCUGGUAGUCCACGUCGUAAACGGUGGGUACUAGGUGUGGGUUUCCUUCCACGGGAUCCGUGCCGUACUAACGCAUUAAGUACCCCGCCUGGGGAGUACGGCCGCAAGGUAAAACUCAAAGGAAUUGACGGGGGCCCGCACAAGCGGCGGAGCAUGUGGUUAAUUCGAUGCAACGCGAAGAACCUUACCUGGGUUUGACUACACCGGAAACCUGCAAAUGUCCGUGUGGCAUGUGUCUCAGCUCGGAGGUUAGCCACACCUCUAAUGGG
Molecule: ribosomal RNA, 971 nt
Filed under: uncultured Nocardia sp.
Lineage: Bacteria; Bacillati; Actinomycetota; Actinomycetes; Mycobacteriales; Nocardiaceae
Description: bacterial SSU rRNA
Rfam family: Bacterial small subunit ribosomal RNA
Source: RNAcentral